CCUGGGAAGCAGGUUCCUUUCCUUUGGAGUUGCUUGUAUAGAUCAUCAUGCACAGUUGCUUCUUUCUGACUUACUGAUCUCAAGUUGAGGACACUCGUUGUCUUCUUGGUUUCUCUCUAUUAACUCGCUUCAUUAUAUCUUAUUGAUUUCUGAAGUCUGGGAUGUAGAUAUUCAGAACUGAUAUGCUCUUCAUACAUUUUUACUUCUCCCAUAGCUUAGAAGACAGUUGUGUAGAUCUGGAAUGUUCUGUUUAAAGUCUCAGACUUAGUUCAGCUCUGGGAGCCAACUUCUCCUAGUCUGCCUUGUCCAGUGGGUGCUAACAAAUGGACAUGUGUACAUGCUUUCUCUGUGGAAGCUGUGGCAAAUUUCCAGACUUGGCAUCAGGUGGCUUUUGAUGAUUCUCAAAGAUAAUAUUCAUCUAACAUGAAUACAUUUUACUGCUCCUGGGGACACCUAUAAGAAUGCCCCACUGUGGCCGGGCACAGUGUCACGCCUAUAAUUCCAGCACUUUGAGAGGCCAAGGGGGGCAGAUCACCUGAAGUCGGAAGUGUGAGACCAGCCUGACCAGCGUGGAGAAACCCCAUCUCUACUAAAAAUACAAAAUCAGCCGGGCAUGGUGGCGCAUGCCUGUAAUCACAGCUACUCAGGAGGCUGAGGCAGGAGAAUUGCUUGAACCCGGGAGGCGGAGGUUGUGGUAAGCUGAGAUUGCAACAUUGCACUUCAGCCUGGACAACAAGAGCAAAACUCCGUCUCGAAACAACAACAACAACAACAGCAACAACAACAAAAUGCCCCACUGCCUAAAAAUAUAUCCUAAACACGAAGUUCAAAAAUGUUUUAAUCAAUGAAAGCAAAAAUAAAAUGUGUGUGGAGCUUCCCAAAGGUAAAAGAUUGCUUAGCAAGUAUUAAUUUUCUCAUUAAGACAAAUUUUAAGUGAUUGCUAUUUAUUUUCUUUGUUAUAUACUGUUUCGUAAAAGUAUCUUUUUGUAAUUUUUUAAAAAAGUAUGCAAAUCCCCCCCACACAUAUAAAGCUCAAUAUAUUUUCACAAAGUUAUAUAUAUAUUCAGAAACUGGGGCAGGGUAAUAAAUAUACUGCUCACAUUUGACAUCUAUCACUUCAGUUCACUUACCAAAAAACUACACAAAAGCAUUUUGUGUCUCCUUUUACACUUUGCCCACUGAAUUUACAGUCCUGUCCAUGUUUUGGUAAAUGGAGCCAGACUGUCUCAGCUUUAUUCCCAAUUCAUGUUCACUGAACUACAGCAAAGCUCUACAUCAAAAUAGACCAUAAACAUGUUUCUUCAAAUGUAAAACAGAAGUAAUUAUAUUCUGUACAGUAAGAAAAGAUUAAUGAGAUAGUGCCCAUAAAGUAUUCAUUUAAAAAGCUCUAGAAAAAAAAUAAAUUCAAAAAUACAUUUUCCUGACCCCUUAAAAAUAAAAUUAGGGAGCUCUCCAAUGAAGUUGAAUUUUGUAUUUGUUUGUUCUUAACUAUAUAUUUGCUGAAUGAAAUUUCUUUUUCUUUUUUUUUUUUUUCUUUUGAGACAAAGUCUCACUUUGUUACCCAGGCUGGAGUAAGUGGAGUAAGUGGCGUGAUCUUGGCUCCUUUGCAGCCUCAACCUCCCAGGUUCAAACCAUCCUCCUGCCUCAGCCCCUCAUUAGCUGGAACUACAGGAGUGUACCACCACACCCAGCUAAUUUUUGUAUUUUUUUGUACAGACUGGGUUUCACCAUGUUGCCCAGGCAGGCCUCGAACUCCUAAGCCCAAGCCAACCACGGGCCUUGGCCUCCCGAAGUGCUGGGAUUACAGGCAUGAGCCACUGCACCCAGCUGUGAAUGGUAUCUUACUAUUAUCUUUCUUUCACAUUUAGUGUCUUAUUUUCAUUACCUCCCUAGGGUUUUUUUUUUUUCCAUAUCUUUUCUACUAAAUUUUCUGUUCAGUGCCUUUCCUCAAACUUUCUUGUCUUUGUCUUGUUUUAUUUCUCAUGACCUCUCUCUGCUCCAACAAGCAAGACAAAACAUUUCCCGAUUCCCAUUAGUGAGCAAUUUAUUUAUGUUUAAUUUGAAUUUGAUAUUUUAUGGAGCAAAGGACCUUGCUUUGUAUUUCAUGCUUUUAAAUAUUCUAUCUCUGAUUGUAAUGUAUAACAAUAAGUAAGAAUUUUUGAGGUACAUGAAUGUUCAGUAUUCAUUUAUUUUAAAUUAUCUAACCAAAUAACAGCACUAAAAACCUGCAUAUUUUUAUAACUAUUUACUAUCAGAUGCAUGUAAUCUACUUAUUAUUGUGAAAAAACAUCUUUGGUCAUUGUCAGAAGGACAGCAUUUUUGAUAUGAUAAUCAAAGAGCACUCGCUUGCAUAAAAUUAUGUCACAAAUCACAUUAUUUUAUUCUGGAAACAUCUAUAUUCUGCUGAUGAUUCACCAGAAAAUCUUAAAACACAUUCAAAAAUGCUAUUUUAGGUGUUUUAUAAACAGAAGUUGUGUGUGUGUGUGUAUCAAUUAAAAUGCUGCAAAAUGACAGUUUGUAUAGUACUUUCAAGAUCUUUCUUCCCCAAGGGUUAAUCAGUUCUAAGAAACUGAAUCCUAUUUUUGUUUCCA
This 2591-nucleotide long non-coding RNA is filed under the name Homo sapiens (human). RNAcentral describes it as "HSALNT0040576". Lineage: Eukaryota; Metazoa; Chordata; Mammalia; Primates; Hominidae. The record is from RNAcentral.